AUGGCUUCCUCCGGCUCUCUCCACCCGGCCCUCCUCGUGCUGCUCCUGCUCGCAGUCGUCGCCACCGCGUCCACGACCACGACGACCUUCGUCCGGGCGGGCGCUCCUCCGGCCGACCUCGCGCAGCGGCUGCAGGGAGUGGGGCAGCAGCAGUGCUGGGAGAUUCUGAUGGACAUCAGGUCGUGCACGGGGGAGAUCAUCCUCUUCUUCCUCAACGGCGAGGCGUACCUGGGGCCCGGGUGCUGCCGCGCCAUCCGCGCCAUCGAGCAGCGCUGCUGGGCCGCCGACGCCAUGCUGUCCGUCAUCGGGUUCACCGCGGAGGAGGGGGACAUGCUCAAGGGCUACUGCGACGCCGGCGACAGCGGCGAGGGGCAGCACCAUGGUGCUCUUGACGGCGUUGCAAGUGACGGCGCCGUGGCCGCCGCUGCGGGAAGGAAAGGGCUUGGUGCCCCGUGA
This 456-nucleotide ribosomal RNA is filed under the name Triticum aestivum (bread wheat). RNAcentral's name for it is "partial small subunit ribosomal RNA". The record is from RNAcentral. Lineage: Eukaryota; Viridiplantae; Streptophyta; Magnoliopsida; Poales; Poaceae.